CCUACGGGGGGCAGCAGUGGGGAAUAUUGGACAAUGGGGGCAACCCUGAUCCAGCCAUGCCGCGUGUGUGAAGAAGGCCCUCGGGCUGUAAAGCACUUUCAGUGAGGAAGAACGCCUGGUGGUUAAUACCCAUCAGGAAAGACAUCACUCACAGAAGAAGCACCGGCUAACUCCGUGCCAGCAGCCGCGGUAAUACGGAGGGUGCGAGCGUUAAUCGGAAUUACUGGGCGUAAAGCGCGCGUAGGUGGCUUGAUAAGCCGGUUGUGAAAGCCCCGGGCUCAACCUGGGAACGGCAUCCGGAACUGUCAAGCUAGAGUGCAGGAGAGGAAGGUAGAAUUCCCGGUGUAGCGGUGAAAUGCGUAGAGAUCGGGAGGAAUACCAGUGGCGAAGGCGGCCUUCUGGACUGACACUGACACUGAGGUGCGAAAGCGUGGGUAGCAAACAGGAUUAGAUACCCCAGUAGUC
This 465-nucleotide ribosomal RNA is filed under the name Vreelandella stevensii. RNAcentral's name for it is "partial 16S ribosomal RNA". It matches the Rfam family "Bacterial small subunit ribosomal RNA", at positions 338 to 795 of the family's 1533-position model. The record is from RNAcentral. Lineage: Bacteria; Pseudomonadati; Pseudomonadota; Gammaproteobacteria; Oceanospirillales; Halomonadaceae.